GGGUCCGUGGCGCAGCACGGAUAAUUGGCUAUGCGCUACACUUCAGUAACGCGUAGACAACACGGAUAGCGCGUCAGCCUUCUAAGCUGAACGUCCUGGGUUCAAAUCCCAGCGGACCCG
RNAcentral lists this transfer RNA (120 nucleotides) under Phycisphaerae bacterium. RNAcentral's name for it is "tRNA-Arg". The stretch from base 51 to 112 matches the Rfam family "tRNA", at positions 10 to 63 of the family's 71-position model. Rfam says of the family: Transfer RNA (tRNA) molecules are approximately 80 nucleotides in length. Lineage: Bacteria; Pseudomonadati; Planctomycetota; Phycisphaerae. The record is from RNAcentral.